GACGAACGCUGGCGGCGUGCCUAAUACAUGCAAGUUGAGCGAUGAAGCUUGGUGCUUGCACCAAUUUGAAGAGCAGCGAACGGGUGAGUAACGCGUGGGGAAUCUGCCUUUGAGCGGGGGACAACAUUUGGAAACGAAUGCUAAUACCGCAUAACAACUUUAAACAUAAGUUUUAAGUUUGAAAGAUGCAAUUGCAUCACUCAAAGAUGAUCCCGCGUUGUAUUAGCUAGUUGGUGAGGUAAAGGCUCACCAAGGCGAUGAUACAUAGCCGACCUGAGAGGGUGAUCGGCCACAUUGGGACUGAGACACGGCCCAAACUCCUACGGGAGGCAGCAGGAGGGAAUCUUCGGCAAUGGACGAAAGUCUGACCGAGCAACGCCGCGUGAGUGAAGAAGGGUUUCGGAUCGUAAAACUCUGUUGGUAGAGAAGAACGUUGGUGAGAGUGGAAAGCUCAUCAAGUGACGGUAACUACCCAGAAAGGGACGGCUAACUACGUG
Molecule: ribosomal RNA, 497 nt
Filed under: uncultured bacterium
Lineage: Bacteria
Description: partial 16S ribosomal RNA
Rfam family: Bacterial small subunit ribosomal RNA
Source: RNAcentral